Triplophysa rosa is the source of this 1644-nucleotide RNA transcript. It is a transcript of the gene named janus kinase and microtubule-interacting protein 3-like, with no coding region annotated. The transcript is spliced from 10 exons. The record is from RefSeq and is a predicted model, not a curated record. Lineage: Eukaryota; Metazoa; Chordata; Actinopteri; Cypriniformes; Nemacheilidae.
UCGUAAGGGUUGUCCCGGACAAGCGUUAAUGUCGAGCCAUGCUGUACAUGAUUCAAUGUGCCUUUAAUUCUAAAACAAAGACAUUCGAGUCAAGGCACAGAAGCCAGAAUUACAGGAAUGACACACCAAUGAUUGUUUGGACAUGAUGUUUUAAUUUGGUUAUAAUAAGCAACAUUUUAAUGCAUGUUUUUGUUUACAGCUUAAACGUAUGGAGACAGAGGAGACGCGGUUGAAAAAUGAAAUUCAGGACGCAAAAGACCAAAACGAACUCCUGGAGUUCCGAAUUCUUGAACUUGAAGAAAGAGAGAGGAGAUCUCCAGCCAUAAACUUCCAGAAUAUUCAUUUUACCGACGGCAUGAGUCCCUUACAGAUCUACUGUGAGACGGAGGGAGUCUCUGACAUCGUGAUCUCGGAGCUGAUGAAGAAGCUUGAUAUUCUGGGGGAUAACGCCGUAAGUAAUCUGACCAAUGAGGAGCAGGUGGUGGUUAUUCAUGCCAGAACGGUACUAACCUUAGCAGAAAAGUGGCUAGAGCAAAUUGAGGUCACCAAAUCAGGAUUACAGCAGAAAAUGUUGGACAUUGAAAGCGAAAAGGAGCUCUUUUGCAAACAGAGGGGAUAUUUAGAUGAGGAAUUAGACUACAGAAAACAGUCUCUGGAUCAGGCGCAUAAGUGUAUUCUUGAGUUGGAGGCGAUGCUGUUCGACACUUUGCAGCGAGAGGAGGCGGGCGGGAAGAUGUCCGAGCUGCUCAGCGAGCAGCGCCGUGAUUCGCUGAGGGAAGCUGUCUCUCAAUGGAAGAGGCAGGUCCUCAGCGAAUUACGAGAGAGAGAUGCGCAGAUACUCAGAGAAAGGAUGGAGCUCCUGCAACAUGCUCAAGUGAGGAUUAAAGAGCUGGAGGAGUGGAUAGAAACACAGAAACGACAGAUUAAAGAAUUGGAAGAGAAGUUUUUAUUUUUAUUUUUGUUCUUUUCUUUAGCUUUCAUUCUUUGGUCGUAGCUCUUCCAACAAGCAGGAAGUGAUGUCACGUGGCGCUGUGGAUCGCGGUAAUGCAUGCCAACUUCAAGUUCAUUUUAUUAAGUAGGCUUAAGCAAAGUUCAAAUCAUGGACCGCAAGUGUUCCGUCUUCUGUAGCAGAGAAGCGGUCGCAUUUGUUCCAUCACGGGUCCAGCGAUCAAGCUUGUGCUUUUGUAAGACUUUAAACUGUUCCUGUCAAAUCUACACUGGCCACCUGUUGAUCUACUGCUAAUGGAAUAUGGUGCUCUCUAUCUUGUGGACUAAAACUGUUUUUAUCCUUCUGACCUUUUCGAAUUUGCUCUGUGUGACCUCUUGCGUGAGGAAUUUAAGGACUCUUAAAUUGAAACGCUCUCCUUUCCCUGCUAAGCAGGCGGUGCUGGAGGCUGCUUCCCUUUGGAAGCCUAAUGGAACGAGAGGUGUUACGUGGAAACCCUUCCCCCUCAACUGUUUACACGCACUGUGCUUUGGUUCCUGGUGGUACGUCUGGCAUCGGCGUGGUGGCGCUAACCUCCCUGUGCGUUGUGAGAAAUGUGACCGAAAAGUAAAUCUUGGAAUUCAAAUGUUUUAUUUUGUAUUGUAAAGGAACGGUAUUUCAAAAUAAAUUUCUCAGAGGAUUAUGGAAAAGAAUAUGAA